ACUUACCCACUCUAAAAGAUAGAUCUUGCUUUCCUCGAUGGAGUUAUUAGUGUUCGAUCGACCAGCGACAGUCUCUAAUGCGACCACCCCGAAUGCAUAAACAUCAACCUUUUCAGUCAAAUGACGUCUCAUUGCAUACUCAGGAGCCAGAUAACCACUUGACAAAAGGUUAGACAAGUUUUAGUUAGCUUUCAUUUUAGAGGACAACCACAAGAGAAAUGGUGAAAUGUGCUUACAAUGUGCCCGCAAUCCCCGUGCUGACAUGAGUCUUCUUCUCAUCAUAGAGCCUAGCGAGUCCAAAGUCUGAUAUCUUUGGGGUGAGGUCGGUGUCAAGUAGGACAUUGCUGGCCUUGAUGUCCCUAUGCACAAUGCGCACACUUGACUCCUCAUGAAGAUAAGUUAGUCCUCUUGCGAUUCCUAAAAUGAUCUCGAAGCGAGUUGCCCAGUCCAGUUUUAAGCUAUUCUUCCCUGUACAAGCAGAAAUGA
Molecule: small RNA, 486 nt
Filed under: Oryza sativa Japonica Group (Japanese rice)
Lineage: Eukaryota; Viridiplantae; Streptophyta; Magnoliopsida; Poales; Poaceae
Description: sRNA Os08g0203650
Source: RNAcentral